RNAcentral lists this small RNA (119 nucleotides) under Salmonella enterica subsp. enterica serovar Infantis. RNAcentral's name for it is "RtT sRNA". It matches the Rfam family "RtT RNA". Rfam says of the family: This family represents a bacterial cis-regulatory element known as RtT RNA. The exact function of RtT is unknown although it is thought that it may be involved in changing the cellular response in relation to amino acid starvation. The record is from RNAcentral. Lineage: Bacteria; Pseudomonadati; Pseudomonadota; Gammaproteobacteria; Enterobacterales; Enterobacteriaceae. RNAcentral also lists the same sequence under 45 other names.
UGUAUCUGAAGUCUGACGAGGAUGAGAACCUCCGGGGGCAAGAGGUUCGACCCGAGCGAAGCGAGAGAACGUUGCGCCAGCAACGGCCCGCAGGGCGAGCCACCCUCUAUCACCGGCAG